Molecule: long non-coding RNA, 442 nt
Organism: Homalodisca vitripennis (glassy-winged sharpshooter)
Lineage: Eukaryota; Metazoa; Arthropoda; Insecta; Hemiptera; Cicadellidae
Exons: 2
Source: RefSeq, a predicted model, not a curated record
UUGUCAAAUUGUGUCACCAAAAUCAUCUCAAAGUAUCUCUUUCAAAACCUUAACCAAACCUUAUACUCACUUACAACAUUACAUCCAGGAAAUAUAAGAAAGCCUAAAUUCCAAAAUGACAAAGCAUGAUGUAGAUAUGAAUUCGUUGAAAGAGGAAGUAAAGAAACUGAAGACAAAAAUGGAACAGAUAAACGUAGAAUUUUUAAUGCUGAAAACUAUUGUGAGUCAGCACGUCGAGUAACCCCUUUCACAGAAUAAUAUCGGCGAUGGACCUUUACUUUGAUGAACACCAGUACCAAAACUUCGUUAUAAAAUACUUUAAAUAAAUUUCCCAGUUUACACGAAGAUUUGCUCGAACACGAUGCAUGGGGUACUCAGUGAAAUAUGAUUGUGUAAGGCAUUUCUUAGGCGGAUUUGAAUCAAUAAAAUGAAAAUUUUAAAA